This 497-nucleotide ribosomal RNA is filed under the name uncultured bacterium. RNAcentral's name for it is "partial 16S ribosomal RNA". It matches the Rfam family "Bacterial small subunit ribosomal RNA", at positions 28 to 507 of the family's 1533-position model. The record is from RNAcentral.
GAUGAACGCUGGCGGCGUGCCUAAUACAUGCAAGUCGAGCGAACAGACGAGGAGCUUGCUCCUCUGACGUUAGCGGCGGACGGGUGAGUAACACGUGGAUAACCUACCUAUAAGACUGGGAUAACUUCGGGAAACCGGAGCUAAUACCGGAUAAUAUAUUGAACCGCAUGGUUCAAUAGUGAAAGACGGUUUUGCUGUCACUUAUAGAUGGAUCCGCGCCGCAUUAGCUAGUUGGUAAGGUAACGGCUUACCAAGGCGACGAUGCGUAGCCGACCUGAGAGGGUGAUCGGCCACACUGUAACUGAGACACGGUCCAGACUCCUACGGGAGGCAGCAGUAGGGAAUCUUCCGCAAUGGGCGAAAGCCUGACGGAGCAACGCCGCGUGAGUGAUGAAGGUCUUCGGAUCGUAAAACUCUGUUAUUAGGGAAGAACAAAUGUGUAAGUAACUAUGCACGUCUUGACGGUACCUAAUCAGAAAGCCACGGCUAACUACGUG